Rana temporaria (common frog) is the source of this 725-nucleotide long non-coding RNA. RefSeq lists it as uncharacterized. Lineage: Eukaryota; Metazoa; Chordata; Amphibia; Anura; Ranidae. The record is from RefSeq and is a predicted model, not a curated record. The transcript is spliced from 4 exons.
GCCACUUCAGCGGUGAACCGAUGGAAAUGGCCCGUCGGACCAUUCUCAUCGGUUUGGAACGACCGUGUGUACGCGGGAGUGACAUUUACGGGCAGGUUAUAUAAUUUAGCAUAAAAUUGUUUAAAUUGAUUAGCAAUUUCAGAAGAUGUAUACAAUUUGUUUCUAUUAGGAUCCGUAAUAGAGUAGAUAUUAGUAUUAUUAUUGUGAUUGUUCGCUUGAAGAGUCCUAGCAAGAAGUCUACCAGACUUAUUGCCAAACUCGUAAAACAGCUUUUGAGAUAGGGCAAAGUUGCGUUUUAUUUUCUCAUCUAAAAUUUUUAAAAGAUUUUCCCUAGCUUCCUGUAAUUCAGAUAAAGUGUCUAAAGCCAACGAUUGUUUUUGCUUGUUUUCCAGAAGAAGGAUUAGUUGAAUAAGGGAUCAUCCUACAGCAGACGAGCGAAGCAGCAAAUCUACAGCUCGAUCAUCCUACUCCUUUUUGCAGCAGACAAGAGCGAAGCAGCAUAUCUACAGCUCCAUUUUCUCAUAAUAGACGCCAUGAUCUAACCUCCUGAAGAAGCUCCCUUGAGCAAAACACGUAGAGAAAAUUUGAUGACCUGCAUGGACUUUGCAGAAGCUGUGGAGAAAGAGAGGACAUCCAAGGAAGUACAUCGACAGUCAAAUGGAUUGCAUGCGAAAAGUGUGAACUUUGGUUUCACGUAAACUGCAUUACAGAAGAAUUGAAAGAAG